GUUUAAAAAUGGUUGUCAUCUUUGAUUCUGCUCUCUUGAAGGUGGGAAGGAGGAGUUUGUUUAUUGAGAGAAGUAAUAAAAUCAAAACUGGAUAUUCUGCAGUCCUCUCUCAUUGAGUGACCUGGCACUCAUGAACAAUCCUAUAGAACACUGAGCACCAGUGAGGGAAACAAGCCACAGUACAGAAACAUUUUAGAGUCUGGAGGAGAGGAGGAGGGAGAAGAGAAGAGGAGAGAAAACUCCCAUGGCUGUAAAAAAAAAAAAACACACCACAUUUAAGAAUAUUUUCAAUACAUUCCUGUACCUCUGGGUAAACAAGGAACACAUGCCAAAUGUAAACAAUGUGACAAAGGCAAUGCUCCUCAAAAGGCAAUGACUUUGAAAAUGAUGCGGGCAUGUCUGAACAAUCUGGAUCAGCUGAACAAACAUUUAAUUGACAUGGUUGAAUCAUUAUGACCUGGCUACGCACCACCUAGCAGAGCAGAUAUUCCUGGAUACAGUGUUCGAGAAGGAAAUUGAACAGUAUGCAAAAAGCAUUGAUGGGAAAUUAGUUCAUCUGAGUCUCUGAUCACUGAAGCAAUGUAGACAAUGAUCUAGUAACUAAUGCUUGCGUGACAGAAGAUGGGACUGUCUGUUUUACAAAAAUAACUGAUACAUCAGGAAAUGCACAUAUAGCAGAAUACUAAAAGAAGUAGCGGGAAAAGCUCUGUGAACAAACAUUCAAGUGUCAUGUGCAUAGCUUUGUCACAGGGAUAACUGCAAAUGUAGCAAAGAUGAGAAGAAAUCUAGAAGAAGGUAAUGAAGGGAACCUGAAACUUAUAACACAUGGGUGCAAUGGCCAUUUGGUGUUUCUUUCAGCUAACGACUUAACUCCAGUAAUAAAGCAAACUUGCUGAAAUUGCUAACACUUCUAUAACCACCAUUUCUUUUCAGCUUCACUGAAGAGAGCAGGAGGAUACAAACUAAUUCUUCCCAAGAUGUACAGUGGAAUUCAGUGGUUGAGUGUUUUGAACAAUUUAUUAAAAAUUGGCCUAUUCUGAGGUGGAGGGAGGUGGUGGAAUCUCCUUCCUUAGAAAUUUUUAAGGUCAGGCUUGACAAAGCCCUGGCUGGGAUGAUUUAAUUGGGGAUUGGUCCUGCUUUGAGCAGGGGGUUGGACUAGAUGACCUCCUAAGGUCCCUUCCAACCCUGAUAUUCUAUGAUUCUAUUAUGACAAUUUGUGGAGAAAAUCAUGACAAAAUAGAUGGAACUAUCACUGCCAAAGUAGUCAAUACCGGACUAAAGAAAAAUGUAGAAGAUAUACUGAAACUUAUUUCCAUAGCUUUGGACCAACUGCAGAAAGAUUGCUGUGGUUUUGCUGGGGCCGUUGAAAUUCUGAAAGAACUUCAAGACACACUGAAGAAAGAGAUACCCAACAACAAAGUUAAAUUGCAGGCAUUAAAAAAGCAGAUGGAUCAAGUACUUGCUUCACCUCAUUUUCUUACCAAUAGGCUCAACCCAAUGCACCAAGGUAAUCUGCCAACCUGCUGAAGAAGCAGCAGCAGCUGCUGCUGCGACAUGGGCAUCUAAUCAUCACUCAUCAAUCAUGCCAACCAGAAUGUCAACACUGGAGGGAGGUGACCAUUCAAGCAGUACAUGUUUGCUGAUGUUUUUUAAAAAAGUCCCAUCACUGAACUGGUAGAAGUUACUAGCUAAGCACCCGGAACCAGAGUCUGUUGAAGUGCUAAACCAGCUUUCAACAGCAAUAGCCUCUCCUGCAGGCACAAAAAGAAUAUUAUCUUCUUUUGGACCAAUACAGUCAAAGUUGAGAUAUCAACUGGGAGUUGAAAAGCAGGAAAACUUGUCUCUCUCUUCCAGUCUAUGAAUAAAAACGGAGUGUGGGAGAUGAGAUCUACUAGUUUUAAAAGUCUGAAGGACAGCCUAAGUAAUUUAGGAGACUGUCAUCUCAUUUUCUAGAGACUUAGGUGAGUAGGAACUUGCGCUCCAGCCACCUUCAUUUAGGCAAAUUUGAAAAUGUUUCCAGGCUGACCUGAAAUAAUCAGUUUAAUUCACUGACUACAAUUAAUCCCUAUGUUCCUUUAAUACAUCAUUUAGCUGUAAAUGUGAAACAUGUUUUGAUAAGAGAAAUCUAUGUAUCCAAAACAUUUAAAAUUGUUUUGUUUCAUAAAAAUAAGUUUUAUAUGCUGUUAUGUUUAAUUACAUUCCAGUUACCACCCUAAUGCAACUUGAUACAAAUCAUGAGCAAAGAGUUAAUUACAUAAGUAGGCAAUAUAUCAUUCACCAUUUUCUAACAUACUAAAAACGUUCAUUCAAUAAGAAUCUGAAAAUAUGAAGCUAAACAACUGCUCAAAUAAAUAUGGCUAUAGUGUACCCUAAGCAGCAAAAAAGAUGUACCAAAUCUCAUGCAAAGGCUCCAUUUAGUUGUGAAUCAACAUGUUUUAAUGGUUAUAUCUACCAAUAAGAAUGCACCUUUCUUUAGAAAAUAACUGAAAUACAUAUGGAAAAGCUGGUUUAAAUCAAGGCUUUCCACUUGAUUUAAAUCACUUUAAAUUGUCUUGAUUUCAAUCAGUCCACCCUGCUCAGGGCUGUGAAAAAUUCAGACCCCUGAGUGCCAUAGUGAAGCUGACCUAACCCCCAGUGUAGACACAGCAGGCCAAUGGAAAAAUUCUUCCGUCAACCCAGCUACCACUAUUCAGGGAGGCGGAUUACCUACAUCAGUGGGAAAAAAAAUCUUCUGUCAACAUAGGAAGCGUCUACACGACAGCACUCCAACUGUGAUGCCCAUAGUGUAGAGAAGCCCUUGGACUGUAAACCACAUUCUGCCAUCACAAUUACAAUGACUUCAAUGGAUGUACUCUGGAUUUACACCAUUGCAACAUAGCAGAAAUUGGCCACAAUAUAAGUUAAAGUUUCACAUUUUGCUUAAACUGGUCAAGCAGACAGCUAUGCACAGUACAAGAUUAAAGAUCAAGCAAAAUGUGGUUCAUAAAACUUCAGAGAAAAUAGCCAACAGCCAUUUCCUCCAUAUACAGAAAAAAGUGGAUGGGAUAAAAUAUCAAAUCACUCAGAUAUGUUCUUACCAUAUUUCAGUUUUAGAGUUUUUAAAAUUUGCAACCAAACAGUUAAUCACUUGUUCCACUACGUAUGACUAUAAUCACUGUGGCCCAAACAAAAUUCCAUAAAAUUUAGAUCUAGUAUAAAGAAUCUAAAAUAAAUAUAACAGAAAGGAGAAUCUUAAUCUGGUCUCUAGAGCUCCUCCCUCAAAUAACUCUACCUCUAGAAACAACAUCUUAGUCUUGAGAAAUGCAACUAAAAUGUUUUAGAUGAAACCAAUUUUUCCUCACAGUAAAAUUGUACACAUAGAUUCCCUUCUACACAGUGCCAUGGAGCAUAUUUGGGAAUACACUCAGCUGUAAAAUCUGAAUUUUACAACUAAGCCAUAUGGUUGCCUAAUGGAGUAAGAAAAGGAUUUUUCCCAUUAAACUGGGUAAAAUGUUUAUAACCUGGAUGGCUCAAAAAUGGAGAUGAACAAAACAAAAAUAUUUUGCUUUUCUUAAAAUAACCACAGUCUGACUCUUAAGAGCACUAAUAAAUGUUGCCAUGUAUCCCCCCUGUGCAGAUUUGAAGUAAACUGAGAUUUCAGUAGAAUAAAGCAAAAACCCUGAAAUGCUCACUUAGGAUGAACUUUUUUAAAAUAAAGUUCUAGGAAAGAUCAAAGCUCCCUCAAUAUGGGAAACACUCCACUGGAUUUUAAUGUAAGCUGUUACCGCUUCACCAGGCUAGUGAUCUCUUCAGCUGAUCUGCUAGAAGACUGAUUUAAGAAACUGAAAGAGAAAGGAACCAGCUAUCAAAUCUACCUUCAAAACACUCUGCAACAAGUGCUUCUUGUAGCCUUAACAGCAGCGGUGGGACAAAGAGCACACAAGAUGGGAACAACUCCACCCACAGGAACCACAUGCAAGCAGCUCAAAUACCCUGCCCUAAGGAGUUUACAGUAUAAAGCUUAUGCUCAAAUAAAUUGGUUAGUCUCUAAGGUGCCACAAGUACUCCUUUUCUUUUUGCAAAUACAGACUAACAGGGCUGCUACUCUGAAACCUAGCAUAAAGAGAGAGUAUUAAGAACAACAAAAAUGCGUGCACACUCACAGCAGGAGAGAUAGGAAGUGAUGAAAAAAAGUUAUUGAACCAUGAGGUUUAUCACUCAUAGCAAUUCCACAAUUCUUAUUUAGACCUUUUUGGGAAUUAAUGAUUUCAGGGUUUUUUCAUGCAUGAGGCAGACUCUUUAAGAACAGAGAAGAUUACUUCACUCAGCAUAACCAUAACUUGGGUCUUAUCUUUAGUCACAGUGUGUAUUCUUCACAGCAUUGAUGAGUAACAGAAAAUAAAGAGCUUGGGAGAACAUAUUCCUGGAGUAGAGUGGAGUGGAAGAGCCUUCAAGGAGGACUGAAAGUUCUAGCUAGUUGUUGACAUUAAAUGUGGGUGGAGAGGACUUUCA
Caretta caretta (loggerhead turtle) is the source of this 4491-nucleotide non-coding RNA. NCBI's taxonomy places the organism in Eukaryota, Metazoa, Chordata, Testudines, Cheloniidae. The record is from RefSeq and is a predicted model, not a curated record.